CAAUGAUGUAUUACAUUUUUCAUGAAAAAUCAUGAAGAUAUCUCUAUAUUUGAACCUAAUGUCAAUAUAAAUUUGUGAGGUCUUAUUUUUCUAUUAAUACCUAUAUUUUGUAAUGUAUGUGAUAUGUUUUAUAUAUGUUUGUCAUAGAUGCAUUUGACUUCAUUUAUAUAUUCACAGAGAUUUAUAGAGAGGCAUUAAAAAACAGGCAUAGUCAGUUAGUUAUAUAUAAAGGUUAUUGAGGAUGCAACGAUAUAAAAGAUAGAAGAACCUAGUAAUUGCCUUUAAGAUCAGAGCACAAAGCAUUAGUUUGGAUUUUACAAGGCCAGCCAGCAACAAAAGAGCAGUAAUUUAUGAGCUCAGCGUAAAAGAAUAGCAUAAUUGCAUUAAAAAUUAAUGCUAAUGAACACUAAAAUGGGGAAGGUGGGUAUGAUGAAAGUUUGUAUUCAUCUUUCCUGGUUUGAAUGAUGGCUAGUGGCUUGAUUAAUGGCUUAAUUUCUAUCAAUUAGCGGGGAAAAAUCUCCUGCGAGACAAGGGUAAAUUGAGCAUUGAAUUACAUAUCUUGCUUUUGUGUGCUAAGAAAAAAGAGCUGCGUAUCUCUGAUAUUAGCCACAGUGACAAAUGUGGUGUGCCCCGCAAUGUCUGCAUUAGCUCUCCUGACAGGCGAGUUGUGUGUGGUUAUGGGGUGUUUGGAGAUGGUUGGCAGACAGCAUUCGCUGUGAGCUCCUUAGAAACACACAACUCUUCCAUUUACAGAAUUUUAAUUAGAGUCAGUAAGAAUUCUAGAAUUAAAGUGGACAGCAAACAGCAACUGCAGAUUCUGUGUUCAGACCUACUAAUCUAGAAUAUCUCAAAGUAUCUUCCUUUCUUUCCCUCUGUUAAAAUAAGCAAACUUCCAGCCGCUCUAGUUUUGCUGGAAUUGUUAUUUCUUCCCACUCUGUUACAGUGGAUUUCACUGCCUAGCUUUAUUGUGUCUGAAACAAAAUGUAAGGCAGUGGUCUAUAGGGUUGUUCUGCAUAGUGGUUGUUGGUUCAGCCCAAUUCACAGAUAUUCUAGCUUUUGUAAUUGCAGUUGCUACAUAGCAAAUAACCAACUACUUGGCUUUGAAAAUACCCUACUUUGGUUGUUUGCUAGUUUUCUAGAAACUGUAUUUUUUAAAUUUAUUUUUAAGGGUUUAUAUAUAUGUAUAUUUGGGGGGGGGUGCUGGGGAUUGAACCAA
Molecule: long non-coding RNA, 1216 nt
Filed under: Marmota monax (woodchuck)
Lineage: Eukaryota; Metazoa; Chordata; Mammalia; Rodentia; Sciuridae
Source: RNAcentral